GUAUCUGAAAAACAGUCUGAAAGAAAUACCUGUAACUUGGCGUUUAUUUGCAUGUGCACAUUGUGAGGGCAACAUAUCAUUUUUAUUGCAGUGUGAACUGUGAAUUAAUAGUUGCGUUUGAAUCAAUUCACUGCUGUAUUAGCAGCCAGUGAAACGUAUCUCACGGCCAUCAUUAUCAUCAAGUGGUAUGCAAGAUGAUACAAGAUAAGAUCUGAAAUUUUCUCAGGUGUAAUAUUAACAGGAACCCGACCAUUUGGAAAAUUAAAUAAUCGCAUACAGUGAAGGACAGCUUAUAUAUUAGAUUAUACUGCUUUUUUUGCACCAUGCAAAUAUUUUUGUUUUUACAGUCUAAGUAACUGCAGUGUGCCUUUUUCCCCCAGAGUGCCCUCUCUCUGUGAGGGACCUCAAGCUUCACUUUGACAUCACAAGUUACUUUCACUCAGAGAUCCAUGAUUUCUUGCAGCCUGUCAUGUCCUCAGCGUCCUUGACGCCCAAAUGUGUGGAGAGUUGGUGGUGCACUAGGAGGAAGAUGUCAUGCUAAGGAUGGGUUUUUGGUGAUGAUGUCGCUGCUGUUGAUGCAGCAUCGAGCUCUCACUUUGUGCCUCUGUCAGCUAUGAUGCGUAACCACACAGUGAAUGACAGGCCAGUCCCUGGGGAGAGCAAGGGGCCUGAGGUGAGUCAGAUGUAUCCUUGACCCUGUCUAGCUGUGUGUCAGCAAGCCACACAAACUCAGUAAAAAAGAGAAAAGACCAGAACUGGCAUGACUGUACAUUGUACAUCUUAAUAUAGUAAAAGGACUGUAAGACAGAGUUUUUAAGAAACGCCUAGAAACACCAACUUAAAUGCUUCUGCUCAAGAAAAUCUAGAUUUCAUAACAUAGACUCCC
RNAcentral lists this long non-coding RNA (886 nucleotides) under Scophthalmus maximus (turbot). Its description in RNAcentral is "lncRNA (ENSSMAG00000023023.1)". The record is from RNAcentral. Lineage: Eukaryota; Metazoa; Chordata; Actinopteri; Pleuronectiformes; Scophthalmidae.